ACUUUCUGGAGACCCGCCCUCGCCAACAUGGCGGCGCCCAAUUGGGGCGGGUUCGUUCGCUUCGCGUUUUGGCCAGGGCGGGGGUCUGGGCUUUAGGCAGGUAGUAUUUAGUUUCACAAUGUUUGGGGACCUGUUUGAAGAGGAAUAUUCCACUGUGUCUAAUAAUCAGUAUGGAAAAGGGAAGAAAUUAAAGACUAAAGCUUUGGAGCCACCUGCUCCUAGAGAAUUUACCAAUUUAAGCGGAAUCAGAAAUCAGGGUGGAACCUGUUACCUCAAUUCCCUUCUUCAGACUCUUCAUUUCACACCUGAAUUCAGAGAAGCUCUAUUUUCUCUUGGCCCAGAAGAGCUUGGUUUGUUUGAAGAUAAGGAUAAACCCGUUCGAAUCAUCCCUUUACAGUUACAGCGCUUGUUUGCUCAGCUUCUGCUCUUAGACCAGGAAGCUGCAUCCACAACAGACCUCACUGACAGCUUUGGGUGGACCAGUAAUGAGGAAAUGAGGCAACAUGAUGUGCAGGAACUGAAUCGAAUCCUCUUCAGCGCUUUGGAAACUUCUUUAGUUGGGACCUCCGGUCAUGACCUCAUCAAUCGUCUGUAUCAUGGAACCAUUGUUAACCAGAUUGUUUGUAAAGAAUGUAAGAACGUCAGCGAGAGGCAGGUAAAUAUGCCAGAUUAUUUUAGUAAUAAGUUAUGUCGUAAAUUAUAAUCCAUGUAAUUAAAUGUAUGAUGUAUAAUACCACACAAGGAUUAAAGUGUUUAUUACUAAAAGUAAUUUAUUGAGGUUUUUUUCUUCUAACUACACCUAAAUCAUGAGCCUAUAAUCCAGAUUUCUCCAUGUAGAUUGAAAGAAGCAAAUAUCUUGAAACUUAAUCUUUUAUUCAGUACCCUAAUAUUUGGAAAAUAGAUUUGGGGGAUAUUUACAAAUAGAA
RNAcentral lists this small RNA (926 nucleotides) under Pongo abelii (Sumatran orangutan). RNAcentral describes it as "retained intron". The record is from RNAcentral. Lineage: Eukaryota; Metazoa; Chordata; Mammalia; Primates; Hominidae.